Molecule: ribosomal RNA, 433 nt
Filed under: uncultured bacterium
Lineage: Bacteria
Description: partial 16S ribosomal RNA
Rfam family: Bacterial small subunit ribosomal RNA
Source: RNAcentral
AACGAACGCUGGCGGCAUGCCUAACACAUGCAAGUCGAACGAGACCUUCGGGUCUAGUGGCGCACGGGUGCGUAACGCGUGGGAACCUGCCCUUAGGUUCGGAAUAACUCCCCGUAAGGGGUGCUAAUACCGGAUAAUGUCUUCGGACCAAAGAUUUAUCGCCUUUGGAUGGGCCCGCGUUGGAUUAGCUAGUUGGUAGGGUACAAGCCUACCAAGGCGACGAUCCAUAGCUGGUCUGAGAGGAUGAUCAGGCACACUGGGACUGAGACACGGCCCAGACUCCUACGGGAGGCAGCAGUGGGGAAUAUUGGACAAUGGGCGAAAGCCUGAUCCGGCAAUGCCGCGGGAGUGAUGAAGGCCUUAGGGUUGUAAAGCUCUUUUACCCGGGAUGAUAAUGACAGUACCGGGAGAAUAAGCUCCGGCUAACUCCGUG